This 253-nucleotide ribosomal RNA is filed under the name uncultured bacterium. RNAcentral describes it as "partial 16S ribosomal RNA". It matches the Rfam family "Bacterial small subunit ribosomal RNA", at positions 524 to 776 of the family's 1533-position model. The record is from RNAcentral.
UACGAAGGACCCGAGCGUUAUCCGGAUUCAUUGGGUUUAAAGGGUGCGUAGGCGGAUUGAUAAGUCAGUGGUGAAAUCCUGCAGCUUAACUGCAGAACUGCCAUUGAUACUGUCGAUCUUGAGUACAUUUGAAGUGGGCGGAAUGUGUCAUGUAGCGGUGAAAUGCUUAGAUAUGACACAGAACACCGAUUGCGAAGGCAGCUCACUAAACUGUAACUGACGCUGAGGCACGAAAGCGUGGGGAGCAAACAGG